UCUUCACUCUCUCUAUUUCUCUCUCUUUCUCUCUGUCUCUCUCUUUCUAUCACUGGCACUGGAAUCCAUAGGCGUCCAGAGGACAGAAACAGGACAGAAAGGGUACCCUUGGCACCACAUAGCACCACAACCCACCACAGACAUGUCGGAUUCUGAGACCGCGGCUGCCCCCGCAGUGGCCCCCGUCCCUGCAGCGUGCGCCAGCGUCAAAGCAGACCUGGACAAAUGCAUGGCGGAGAAGGGAGCCGAGGGCUGCAAAGAGCUGAUGGAGGCCUUCGCCGCCUGCGUGAAGAGCGCGGCUGAGGGGACGUCGUGAGGGGCCCCCUGCAGCCUGACAUGUCCAAUGCACUGAGUCCUCCAAGUUCCCAGCAUUCCCUUCUGCACAACAGCACUCGACUGAAUGGUGAUAACAAUAAGGAUGAUGAUUAUCGUGGGACAAACACUGUGUUGAUCGGUCUGAGUUUGGGAUCUGGAAGCAGUAACCUUAGCAUCCCCUCCCUCCCCCAUCCGUUCCUCUCCCUGUUUUAGCCGUACCAGGUCUCCCUCAGUCUUUCCGUCAUCCUCCCUGCUGAUAUCCAGUACAUUGACAAUUCCAGAGAGCUGAUGGGCUGCGAUGUAACCUGUCGACUUGAGAUAAAUGCUUAUAAAUGGAAAUAAAGUAUAAAAGAAAUGGUGUGAAAACGAA
Poecilia latipinna (sailfin molly) is the source of this 685-nucleotide long non-coding RNA. RefSeq lists it as uncharacterized. The transcript has 3 exons. The record is from RefSeq and is a predicted model, not a curated record. NCBI's taxonomy places the organism in Eukaryota, Metazoa, Chordata, Actinopteri, Cyprinodontiformes, Poeciliidae.